Triticum aestivum (bread wheat) is the source of this 135-nucleotide non-coding RNA. NCBI's taxonomy places the organism in Eukaryota, Viridiplantae, Streptophyta, Magnoliopsida, Poales, Poaceae. The record is from Rfam.
GAAGUACUUCCUCCGUCCGGAAAUACUUGUCAUCAAGACGAAUAAAAGAGGAUGUAUCUAGAUGUACUUUAGUUCUAGAUAUACCCUUUUUUAUCUAUUUUGAUGACAAGUAUUUCCGAACGGAGGAAGUAAUAG